This 263-nucleotide unclassified non-coding RNA is filed under the name fungal sp. RNAcentral describes it as "partial internal transcribed spacer region". The stretch from base 1 to 46 matches the Rfam family "Eukaryotic small subunit ribosomal RNA", at positions 1786 to 1831 of the family's 1831-position model. The record is from RNAcentral. Lineage: Eukaryota; Fungi.
AAGUCGUAACAAGGUUUCCGUAGGUGAACCUGCGGAAGGAUCAUUAAAAAAUCUCAUGUCCGGGACUCCUUCGGGGGUUUUGGAUUUUGAGCCGCAAGGCUCUUUAAUCUUUGUGCAUUUGAGUCCUGGGGGUCGGGUGUAUGUGUGGGCUGUUGGCCCCAUGUCCCCCUGCUGCCAGGGUUUUUUAAAACAGUCUAGUUUGAUUUUCUGUUUGAUAUCGCAAAUAUCAUUUACAACUUUCAACAGUGGAUCUCUCGGCUCUU